RNAcentral lists this ribosomal RNA (497 nucleotides) under uncultured bacterium. RNAcentral describes it as "partial 16S ribosomal RNA". It matches the Rfam family "Bacterial small subunit ribosomal RNA", at positions 28 to 507 of the family's 1533-position model. The record is from RNAcentral.
GAUGAACGCUGGCGGCGUGCCUAAUACAUGCAAGUCGAGCGAACAGACGAGGAGCUUGCUCCUCUGACGUUAGCGGCGGACGGGUGAGUAACACGUGGAUAACCUACCUAUAAGACUGGGAUAACUUCGGGAAACCGGAGCUAAUACCGGAUAAUAUAUUGAACCGCAUGGUUCAAUAGUGAAAGACGGUUUUGCUUUCACUUAUAGAUGGAUCCGCGCCGCAUUAGCUAGUUGGUAAGGUAACGGCUUACCAAGGCAACGAUGCGUAGCCGACCUGAGAGGGUGACCGGCCACACUGGAACUGAGACACGGUCCAGACUCCUACGGGAGGCAGCAGUAGGGAAUCUUCCGCAAUGGGCGAAAGCCUGACGGAGCAACGCCGCGUGAGUGAUGAAGGUCUUCGGAUCGUAAAACUCUGUUAUUAGGGAAGAACAAAUGUGUAAGUAACUAUGCACGUAUUGACGGUACCUAAUCAGAAAGCCACGGCUAACUACGUG